Molecule: non-coding RNA, 105 nt
Organism: Suillus clintonianus
Lineage: Eukaryota; Fungi; Basidiomycota; Agaricomycetes; Boletales; Suillaceae
Source: the annotation of a RefSeq genome assembly
GCUCGCUUGGCUCAGUUGGUUAGAGCGCAGGUCUCAUACUAUUUCGUGUGACGAGUGUUAUACUCGGUAAUCCUGAGGUCGCAAGUUCGAACCUUGCAGCGAGCA